RNAcentral lists this ribosomal RNA (253 nucleotides) under uncultured bacterium. Its description in RNAcentral is "partial 16S ribosomal RNA". It matches the Rfam family "Bacterial small subunit ribosomal RNA", at positions 524 to 776 of the family's 1533-position model. The record is from RNAcentral.
UACGUAGGGUGCGAGCGUUGUCCGGAAUUACUGGGCGUAAAGAGCUCGUAGGUGGUUUGUCGCGUUGUUCGUGAAAACCGGGGGCUUAACCCUCGGCGUGCGGGCGAUACGGGCAGACUUGAGUACUGCAGGGGAGACUGGAAUUCCUGGUGUAGCGGUGGAAUGCGCAGAUAUCAGGAGGAACACCGGUGGCGAAGGCGGGUCUCUGGGCCAAUACUGACGCUCAUGCACGAAAGCGUGGGGAGCAAACAGG